Molecule: small RNA, 148 nt
Filed under: Pseudocitrobacter faecalis
Lineage: Bacteria; Pseudomonadati; Pseudomonadota; Gammaproteobacteria; Enterobacterales; Enterobacteriaceae
Description: QUAD RNA
Rfam family: Short Intergenic Abundant RNA
About the family: This family contains multiple ncRNA from E. coli that were identified in a large scale screen of E. coli, were they were called candidates 43,55 and 61. These RNAs have also been identified by other groups and called QUAD RNAs.
Source: RNAcentral
UUGACUUCCCGUUGAUGCAACCCUAAAUUAAGGAGUGAGGGUAAGGGAGAGGUUUCCCCCUCCCCCUGGUGUCUUAGUAUGCUGGGUAGCUAAUCACUAAGAGAAUCACCAGUAUGAUGAGCAGCUUCAUCAUAACCCUUUCCUUAUU